GAUGAACGCUGGCGGCGUGCCUAAUACAUGCAAGUCGAGCGAACGGACGAGAAGCUUGCUUCUCUGAUGUUAGCGGCGGACGGGUGAGUAACACGUGGAUAACCUACCUAUAAGACUGGGAUAACUUCGGGAAACCGAAGCUAAUACCGGAUAAUAUUUUGAACCGCAUGGUUCAAAAGUAAAAGACGGUCUUGCUGUCACUUAUAGAUGGAUCCGCGCUGCAUUAGCUAGUUGGUAAGGUAACGGCUUACCAAGGCAACGAUGCAUAGCCGACCUGAGAGGGUGAUCGGCCACACUGGAACUGAGACACGGUCCAGACUCCUACGGGAGGCAGCAGUAGGGAAUCUUCCGCAAUGGGCGAAAGCCUGACGGAGCAACGCCGCGUGAGUGAUGAAGGUCUUCGGAUCGUAAAACUCUGUUAUUAGGGAAGAACAUAUGUGUAAGUAACUGUGCACAUCUUGACGGUACCUAAUCAGAAAGCCACGGCUAACUACGUG
RNAcentral lists this ribosomal RNA (497 nucleotides) under uncultured bacterium. RNAcentral describes it as "partial 16S ribosomal RNA". It matches the Rfam family "Bacterial small subunit ribosomal RNA", at positions 28 to 507 of the family's 1533-position model. The record is from RNAcentral.